CCUACGGGGGGCUGCAGUGGGGAAUAUUGGGCAAUGGGCGCAAGCCUGACCCAGCAACGCCGCGUGAAGGAAGAAGGCUUUCGGGUUGUAAACUUCUUUUCUCAGGGACGAAGCAAGUGACGGUACCUGAGGAAUAAGCCACGGCUAACUACGUGCCAGCAGCCGCGGUAAUACGUAGGUGGCAAGCGUUAUCCGGAUUUACUGGGUGUAAAGGGCGUGUAGGCGGGACUGCAAGUCAGAUGUGAAAACCACGGGCUCAACCUGUGGCCUGCAUUUGAAACUGUAGUUCUUGAGUUCUGGAUGGCAGGAGAGGUAAGUUGAAUUCCUAGUGUAGCGGUGAAAUGCGUAGAUAUUAGGAGGAACACCAGUGGCGAAGGCGGCUUGCUGGACGGUAACUGACGUUGAGGCUCGAAAGCGUGGGGAGCAAACAGGAUUAGAUACCCCAGUAGUC
RNAcentral lists this ribosomal RNA (451 nucleotides) under uncultured bacterium. RNAcentral's name for it is "partial 16S ribosomal RNA". It matches the Rfam family "Bacterial small subunit ribosomal RNA", at positions 338 to 795 of the family's 1533-position model. The record is from RNAcentral.